UACGUAGGCAGCAAGCGUUGUUCGGAGUUACUGGGCGUAAAGGGUGUGUAGGCGGUUCUUUAAGUUUGGGGUGAAAUCUCCCGGCUCAACUGGGAGGGUGCGCCGAAUACUGAGGGACUAGAGUACGGGAGAGGAAAGUGGAAUUCCUGGUGUAGCGGUGAAAUGCGUAGAUAUCAGGAGGAACACCGGUGGUGUAGACGGCUUUCUGGACCGACACUGACGCUGAGACACGAAAGCGUGGGUAGCAAACAGG
This 253-nucleotide ribosomal RNA is filed under the name uncultured bacterium. RNAcentral's name for it is "partial 16S ribosomal RNA". It matches the Rfam family "Bacterial small subunit ribosomal RNA", at positions 524 to 776 of the family's 1533-position model. The record is from RNAcentral.